AGGUACUAGGCGUGCCAUGUGCAGGCUCUUGCAGCCCAGCUGUUGCCCUGGCAGCUCCAUGACCACACCUCUGUGCCCAGACAUGGAUCAGAACUGGGAGAAAAAGAGAAGGUGGUACCUUCUAUCCCCUUCACCCUGGGUCUUUCAGGAUCUGCCCCAAGGAGCAGAAAACGGGUGCGCCCAGAGCAGCUUACUCAGGAGACGCUUGCUGUAUGUAUGGCCUGGGACAACUGUAAGAGCCCUGAGGGCACAGAGUAUGGGCAACAGGUGAUAGCAAAUCAAGGAGCAUAUUUAGCAAUGCCUGUGCUACCUAGCAAUGAGAAAUCUAUGAAAAUAGCGACACCACAGGAAUAGGGACUGCAGAGUGGGAAGAAAUGAGGGGUGACCAUGUUGAAGAAACUGUGUUUCGGCAGAGGAGAGAGCAGAGCAAUGGGGUGAGGUGGGAAUGCUUUUGGGUGGGCUUCAGAAGCAGUGAGGUCAGUGUGGCUGUCGUGAGGUGUGGAGAGUUGGGGAAGAGGAAAGGGGGUACCUGAGUUACCUGGGGCCACGUCACGUAGGGCCUGGUGGGCUGUGGUAGGGACUUGGGAUGUUUCUCUAAGUGCAGAAGAUUUUGAGCUGGGGAGAUGUGAUUGGAUUUAUGUUGUAGGGGCAAUAGAGACUAGGGAAUUGAACAGGAAGCAGGGAGGCCAGGAGGUGGCAGCUGUAGAGGUCUGGAGGCUUGGAUGUAACCAGGAGGGUUGGACAGAGCUACAGGUCAGACUGGGUCCACAUUUCAAAGGGGAUCUUAAAGGCUGUGAGAGGGACUAUUACAUGCCACCAAUAUUGAUUGUGCUCCUACCAUCAGGAUACAGAGAUGAGACAGUGAUUCCUGUCCUCAAGGAGGUUACAUUCGCAUGGGGAGAGACACAUAGCAAAAGAGACCACCAAGGCAAGUCCGCCGAGAGAUGAUGAGAGCCCAGAGGGCAUAUCACUAAGAGAAGGCCAGGAAUGAUCUCACGGAGCAAAUGGCAAUUGGCUUGAGUUUUGAGGAAGUAGAAGUUUGGUCAACAGGUAGGAAGCUGAGUAGGAAGGGAAUUUCUGGCAAAGGCACAGUUGCUGGUUCAGUGGCAUCGUUCCCUCUGGGGAAUCUGGGAAGACUGUGCCUGACUGUGGUUCCUGAUGGGAUUGCUGGUAACUGGCUCCAGAAAGAUUAUUUGGUGGAUAAAAAAAAAAUGCAGGAUAUAUUUGGAAAACUACAAGUUAGCCUCUAAGCUGGCAAUGUGAUGAGGGCAUGGCAGGGUGCCUCUAGGUUCUCUACAGUAAUGGGGCUCUGAAGAGAAAUUGAGGGGACUGUGAAGCUGUGUUUGCACAGUUCUCUGCAUAAGAUUUGGAAACAGCUGACAAUGCGCAUUAAAGAAUGAGGGUGCUGCUAAUGGAGGUCAUGAGAGUCACCACUCCCUAAACUUGCUCCUUGGCCCCCUCUUUGAGCUUGGAGGUAAAUCUGUGGAGGCUAAGGUUGGGUGGGGCAGUGUAUGUCCUGUUAAUGAGUUAGGACCACAACAAACAGGGAGCUCUUGAUGGGGUUCCUGAAGGUGAGUGAGAAGCUCAGGUGAGUCCUCUAGGGAGUUCACUCUGGAGUGUUGAGGGAGACAGAGUAGACAGGACAAGACAGCAGCUGAGGAAGAGGAUGGCUAGAAGGCUGUUGCAAAAUUCCACUAUGAUCUUCCCUUUGUAAAACCUUCUUUGGAACACACCCCAGAAUACACUGGAAAAUUCAGAAAGGUGGACAAUGGAGAAAGGACAGGAAGCAAGUCCCAGAAUCCACAGCAGCUCCCCAGCACCCCGGGCAAGCACUACCUCCCUGCCAAGGUUCAAGUGGGGCUCUCUUGGCAGCCUCCAUAGGAACUGGCCCGGGGCGAGUUCCCGGGGUAAAAGGUGCAACCUGGGUGUGGGCCGGUUUCCUUGUGAAGGCUGUGGCUUCCCCUCAGGCUCACCCUUGCUGAUGCUGAGUAAUCUGCAGGCUGCAAUCUGCCCGUGAAAGAACUCUUGCAACACAUUGUGUGAGGAUCCCAGGCUGCCCUGUCCUUCCCUGGGAAUCAGGUCAAGAGCCCUGCUGGCAGGUGUCCUAGAGCAUGAAUCAGGCCCCUGGCAAGGAGAAGGCGGGAGAUCUUGGCUGAGAUCAGUGGAAUACUGAGCCUCCAGCUUGUGUGUCAUAUGUGUGGACUUUUCAGCAUAUUCUUCUCUGGCCCAGAAGUCUGGAUUCUUCUUGUCUGUUGCAAUAAUAUAAAGUUAUUCAGAGCUGUACAUGAAGAGAAGUCCCACAGGGACCCUGGGAUCAGAAGAACUCUGGGAAAUGCCUGGCCCAGCCAGUGCUGUUCUAAAGAUCCUCAUCCUCAUGGAGAUAACCAUUUUUAAGGAAGAAAAGAGGAUCUGGACCCUACCCAUCUCAGUCUCCAUCAGAUCUUAUGGAUGCUCCAGGAAUUGGCCAUGAUUCUCCUCUUUUCUACCAUCUUGUAUGUUGGGCUUUGUAGAGGAUAGAUGUUUUCUAGAAGAAUGGCAGAUAAGGCAAGGUCUGCAGCUUGCCAUUGAUAGUGUCUUUAUCAACAGAUCUGUGAGGAAUUGUGCAGCUGAGAGGGGAGAAGAGAAAUCAGAGAGUGGAUGGACUGCCACAGUUCAACAUAUACUGGUGCUUUCAAUAUAGAAUCCACAAGGCAACCUGCAUGCUGGGCUCUGUGCUAGGCACUAGGGGUAUAUCUAUGAGAUGCCACCCCAGCUCCCACAGUCUUACAAUCUAAUGGGGAAGAGAGAUAUGUCAAUAGACAAACGCAGCAGAUGGCAAGUGCUGGGAUAUGAAACAGUAAGCAGAAGCCACAGUGUUCUCUGGGACUUCUGAGCUGAGUCCCAAAGUAAUUAGAUUAAUCCGUCAUGGGAGGUGGAGUGGGUAGGGGGAGCUCCUGGAAGCAUGAUCAAAAGUGGAGAGCUAAGGUGAGGGAGAAGAAAGAAAUGAGAUUCAGCAAAGAGGAGGAGAGCAAUGAAGGGCCAUGUAUGACCAGGCGAAGGCAAAUUGUUCGGACCAAACAUGACAGUAGGGUGGGUUUUUGAGGGGUAUCCACUGCACUUACAGAGGCAAGAUUCUCUAUGGUGACCUUUCAGUGAGGGUGGGCAAAUACACUACUUUUUGAGUCAGCCAUUUUUCACUACUGAGCACCUCUGGCCUUAGCAAGUUCUGAGCAUGAAUACUUUCUUCUGUUUCUAAGCCAUUCAACAAAUAUCAAAGUGCUUUCCCAUGUAUUGGUCAUCUUAGGCAAACUGGGUGGACAUGUAGAGCAAGACGUAAUGAGGUAAGCACUCACUAGAGCUAGGUCAUCUUAGAAAAGUCACUUAGCUUCACUGAGCCUCAGUCUUCCUAUCUGUGAAAUGGGGAUAAUGACCCUUAUGUCACCUGGUGGGCAAGGUCUAAAUAAAAUCAUUGUAGUUAGAUCCAUAGUAGGUUCUUUCUGACCUACCACUGUGCACCUCACGCCGUUGCUAUUCCAGUGGGAUAUAUCCAGUGGGGUUACGGGUAUGACAUUUCGGAACCCCACCAUCACUUGUAUCAGCAGGUCUGUCCUAGGUUCCCCAACUAAGCUUCCUGGAUGAGGCACCUAGUGGCGUCCCCUAGUUUGAGUGUGGGGGGUUUGGUAAACUAGUCCUUAUGUAUGCUUGUCAGAUGGAGGGUACUGUCUUUAAGAUGGGCUCAUAGCUGAAUCUGGAAGGUAAGUGCUCCAGGCCAGUAUUGUUUUCUGCAGGAUUCAAAGUUCCCUUGCUAUUUCUGCUGACUUUGCUUCCCCUCUCGUGUUCUAUAUCCCAAACCUAUUAUCUUCACCAGCGUUAAUUUGCCUCCACAACUCUGUUUUUGCAUUUUGAAAUGGAAUUUCCCUUAACCUAUAUUCCUCUGGUUCCCAAACUCCACCUGCUUCAGUUUUUUUUUCAAUAUCAUCUACAUUUCCUUCACUAGAUUAUAGCCUUAGUCAUUUGUACCCUUAGAAUGAAUAUUUUUUUCUGUCAUAUCUUUGUUUGAACCUUUUCACAUUUGACUUCAGACAUUACCCAUCUCCUUCAUCUGACCACUUUCUUCACUUUUCUCAUCUUUCCAUUUUGGUUGUAUGUCUACUGAGCAAGGGGCUCUGUGCAGAGCAUUCAAAGAUGACUGAGAUGUAGUCUUGUGGGUAGAGAGAGACAAUUAGAAUGCACCGUGGAGAGUGUUAGGUUGAGGGAAGCGGAGAUUACAGGAGUCCAAAUGUCUUAUCCGAGGAUAUGGGAUAGGCUUGAGAGAAGAUGCUGAGCUCAUGUAGGUGAGGUAUUGUCCUACGUGAAGGAAAAGAGGCAGGAGAUGGCAGCUUGGAGGCUAUAUUACUUUCUCUGGGGCUGCCAUACCAAAGUACCACAAACUGGGUGGCUUAAAACAUCAAAAAUGUAUUUUCUCACAGUUCUAGAAGGUAGAAGCCCAAAAUCAAGAUGUUGGCCCUACAGCUGUGCUCCUUCUGAAGGCUUUGGGGUGAAUGUGUUUAAUGCCCUUUUCUUAGCUUCUGCCCUUUUCUUUUCUGGCCUUCACAGAAGGCCAAAGAGCAAUCCUUGGCCUUCCUUGGCUUGUGGAUGCAUCGUUUCAGUCUCUGCCUCUGUUUUCACAUGGCCCUCUUCCCUGUGUAUCUGUCUCUACGCUGCUUCUCAUCUUAUAAGGACACAAGUCAGAUUGGAAUAAAGCCUAUUCUAAUUCAGUAUAAUCACAUCUUAACUUGAUUAUGUAUGCAAAGACCAUAUUUCCAAAUAAGGUCACAUUUUCAGGUCCUCGGGGUUAGAGCUUUCACAUGUCUUUUUGGGGGACAUAGUUCAACUCAUAAUAGAAACCUCGCAGAUAAAUCAUUUUGGCCGGUGCACAGAGUUAAGUGGUGGAUUAUCAAGAAUAUGGAAUUUUAGAAUUUUAGCUUCUUGGUUGAUUUUUGGGAAUUAACAUACAGGAGAGCAGGUUUAGAAGUAACAAUAACACUUUGAGAGGCCGAGGUGGGCAGAUCAUGAGGUCAGGAGAUCGAGACCAUCCUGGCUAACAUGGUGAAACCCCGUCUCCACUAAAAAUACAAAAAUUAGCCGGGCAUGGUGGCAGGUGCCUGUAGUCCCAGCUACUCAGAAGGCUGAGGCAGCAGAAUGGCAUGAACCCGGGAGGCGGAGGUUGCAGUGAGCCGAGAUCGUGCCACUGCACUCCAGCUGGGGAGACAGAGUGAGACUCUGUCUCAUAAAAAAAAGAAGUGACAAUAACAAUAACAGAGGCUGGUCUUCUGGGAAUGAUGCGAUACUCUUCAGCCAGCCUUUCUGUUUUGAGCGAAGCCCCAACCUGGAGUUCAAAGAGAGUGAGGGCGCUUCCUGUCUUCUUGUCUUUCUCCUCUCUCCUGCUACUUGUUAUGAAAUUCAGAACAAUUAGAGAUUUUCUGUCUCAUCCCUGGAAUGGUGUUUCUCCUGCUGGCCCUAUCAGGCUGGUGUGUUGAUGUUAUCGGGGAGAGGCUGUAGUUACUAGGAUGAAGAAGGCAAGAGAGAAAUGGAAUUCACGCAGAUCAAACAUGUGUAAUCAGAAGACAUUACUGAGGCUUGAUGAUGCUGUUCAGGGUGUAUUUCCCUUGAAACGCUUCUUAAAAGACAGCAGCUUAAACAAAUGGGCAAGAUGAGAUUCACAGAGGUAACAUUUCAGAGAGAAUGUAGGUACAGCUAAGCAGAGCUAAGCAGUGACAGAAGGAGAAAGUGUGUCUGAAGAAAAAUCUUCAUUACAGAUUUGAAAGAAAAAAAACCCAUCAAAUCCCUCUGCCUUGUGGGUCUCACAGGAGGCAAACUUUCUUUACAAACUGUGUGUUUGUGUUUUGAGUGACUAAGAGUUCAGGGACAAGUUCAAACACACCUAAGUUCAAUUUAAAAGUAAAUGAGAUGACAUUGGAGGAAAUUUAUAAUAAAAUGUCACUCUUUACCUAACACCAUUUUCUCUGGAAUUCAAAAUAUCCAUUGUUUAAAAGUGACACAGUAACUACCAUCUAGUUUGCUGAAUGACCUUCUUUAUAGCGUCAUGGUAUUAGAAAUGGCUUCAGAAGGAAUCACUCAACUGCAUUUAUCUGGCAGGAGAAAAAUGCAGGUAGUAUUUAUUUUGGGGUGUGGUAGGGGAUGUCCCCUAGCAAGGAUCCUAGAAGUCAGUGUCAGGUAUGAGAACAAGAAACAUUCAUUUAUUGCAUGCAUACUCAUUGAGUCCCUACUAUGUAUUGGUAUUAUGUGGCAGUAUGAAUAUUCUCAUUUGUUAAAUAAAGAUACUUGAGUCUGCUUUCAGUGUUGUGGGUUUUGUUAUUAAGAGUAAUACAGUCAUGUGUUGCUUGAUCAUGGGGACUUGUUCUGAGAAAUGUGUUGUCAAGCAAUUCUGUCUUUGUGGGAACCUCGUAGAGAGUAGGGUACUUACAAAAACCUAGAUGGGAUAGCUUAAUACGCACCUAGGCUGUAGGGUAAAGCCCAUUGCUCCCAGGCUACAAACCUGUAGAGCAUGUUACUGACUGAAUACUGUAGGCAGUUGUAACAAAUCACUAGGCAACAGAAACUUUGCAGCUCUGUUAUUAUCUUAUGGCACCACUGUUGUGUAUGCAGUCUGUUGACCAAAACAUCAUGUGGUUCAUGAUCGUACUUAUAGUACUAAGUGCCAGGCAUUGAACUGUGCCAAGUGUCAGGGCUGAAUGAGCUCAUUCAAUUUUUCUAAUAAGUCUAUGAGGUAGUUACUGAUAUCGCCCCUGCUUUACAGAUGAGGAAACUGAGGCACAGAGAUAAGGAAUUUGGAUAAAUUUUUAUAACAGGUAGGAGAUAAGUGAUGAAGAGACACUGAAUGAUUGAAAACUCACUUGGUUUGAUUUGCUUAUGUGAAAAAUGGAUUUAAGGAAGGCAGCGGAUGCAAGCACGGAGGCAGGGAAACUGGUUGAUGUGUGGAUUGAGUGAGUUAAUGUGUGUCAAAUGCCUAGAAUGGUCACUACACAAGUAUUUGCUAUUGUUCUUAUUUUUGUUGUAAUCAGUCAGAAUGGUCUAAGUCAGUGGUCAGCAAACUUUUUUUAUGCAGAGCCAGAUAGAAAAUAAUUUAGGCUUUUUAUGCUCUUAGGUCUCUCUUGCAAUUACUCAAUUCUGCCCUUGUAGCAUGCAGGCAACCAUAGUCAAUGUGUAAAUAGGAACGAGCAUGGCUGCAUUCCAUUGCAUGUAGUUUAUAAAACUAUAGCCCACAGACUAUACUUUGCCAAUUCUUGGUCUAGACUAUGCUGUAGUUAUAAUUCCCAAACCCUAUUGGUU
This 7311-nucleotide long non-coding RNA is filed under the name Homo sapiens (human). RNAcentral describes it as "non-protein coding lnc-FAM84B-84:1". Lineage: Eukaryota; Metazoa; Chordata; Mammalia; Primates; Hominidae. The record is from RNAcentral.